RNAcentral lists this long non-coding RNA (217 nucleotides) under Elaeis guineensis (African oil palm). RNAcentral's name for it is "long non-coding RNA (EGUI_LNC001107)". Lineage: Eukaryota; Viridiplantae; Streptophyta; Magnoliopsida; Arecales; Arecaceae. The record is from RNAcentral.
AUCAUAGCUGAGAAGAUAGGAAAAGAUGGGAUCCACAUAGGAGUGGAGUCCAUCGCGGGGAAAAAGCUUUCUCACUCAUUUGGAAGUCUUUCGGUGGGCCCACUAUCACGGUGGAUCUCAUAUUUUUACCUCUUCAGACGUACAGUCAGUGGAGAUCUUAUUAAAAUAUAGUAGAUUUUAUUUUUUUAAUUAAAAAUAUGAUUCAUCUCUUCAUCUC